Molecule: small nuclear RNA, 191 nt
Filed under: Amphimedon queenslandica
Lineage: Eukaryota; Metazoa; Porifera; Demospongiae; Haplosclerida; Niphatidae
Description: U2 spliceosomal RNA
Rfam family: U2 spliceosomal RNA
About the family: U2 is a small nuclear RNA (snRNA) component of the spliceosome (involved in pre-mRNA splicing).
Source: Rfam by way of RNAcentral
AUCGCUUCUCGGCCUAUCGGCUAAGAUCAAGUAGAAAUAACUGUUCUUUUGAGUUUAAUAGCUCAAACGUGGUCCAUGUGGCCACAUGCUAUUAACCCUAUUUUUUUACACUGAGGUGAAGUGAAAGCUUGCUUUCCUCACCUCACGGGUUGCCCUGGUAUUGCAGUAUCUCCAGGUGCGGCCCAUUUCUU